Pantherophis guttatus is the source of this 542-nucleotide non-coding RNA. The record is from the annotation of a RefSeq genome assembly. NCBI's taxonomy places the organism in Eukaryota, Metazoa, Chordata, Lepidosauria, Squamata, Colubridae.
CUCUUCAGACAACACCCACCAACCUCAACCUUGUGCUAUUUGCUGAAUCCCCUCUUGUCAAUUCCCUCCAUUCAUUAGAGGGAGCAAAAAUGUGGCUAAACCUCCUGUCCUUACUAGUACUCCUCAAUGGAGUCCAAUCUCAAGUGCAGUUGGUGGAGUCUGGAGGGGAUGUGAGAAGACCUGGAGAGUCCCUCCGUCUCUCCUGCCAAGCCUCUGGAUUCACCUUCAGCAGCUCUUACAUGAGCUGGGUGAGACAGGCUCCAGGGAAAGGACUGGAAUGGAUUGCAGGUAUUAGGUACGAUGGCAGUAAGCAAUUCUAUGGAGAGUCUGUCAAAGGACGCUUCACCAUCUCCAGGGACAAUGCCAAAAGCCAGCUGUAUCUGCAAAUGAACAGCCUCAAAGCUGAAGACACGGCAAUUUAUUACUGUGCAAGAGACACAGUGAGAGGAAGUGAAUCUGAAGCCAAACAAAAACCUUCCUUUCUUCAGAGCACUUCUUCAACUUGUCUAAACCGCCAAUCCUGGGUUAUUAAUGAGGGUUGA